UGUUUCGACACACUAUCAUUAACUGAAUCCAUAGGUUAAUGAGGCGAACCGGGGGAACUGAAACAUCUAAGUACCCCGAGGAAAAGAAAUCAACCGAGAUUCCCCCAGUAGCGGCGAGCGAACGGGGAGGAGCCCAGAGCCUGAAUCAGUGUGUGUGUUAGUGGAAGCGUCUGGAAAGGCGCGCGAUACAGGGUGACAGCCCCGUACACAAAAAUGCACAUACUGUGAGCUCGAUGAGUAGGGCGGGACACGUGGUAUCCUGUCUGAAUAUGGGGGGACCAUCCUCCAAGGCUAAAUACUCCUGACUGACCGAUAGUGAACCAGUACCGUGAGGGAAAGGCGAAAAGAACCCCGGCGAGGGGAGUGAAAAAGAACCUGAAACCGUGUACGUACAAGCAGUGGGAGCCUCUUAAUGGGGUGACUGCGUACCUUUUGUAUAAUGGGUCAGCGACUUAUAUUCUGUAGCAAGGUUAACCGAAUAGGGGAGCCGAAGGGAAACCGAGUCUUAACUGGGCGUUAAGUUGCAGGGUAUAGACCCGAAACCCGGUGAUCUAGCCAUGGGCAGGUUGAAGGUUGGGUAACACUAACUGGAGGACCGAACCGACUAAUGUUGAAAAAUUAGCGGAUGACUUGUGGCUGGGGGUGAAAGGCCAAUCAAACCGGGAGAUAGCUGGUUCUCCCCGAAAGCUAUUUAGGUAGCGCCUCGUGAAUUCAUCUCCGGGGGUAGAGCACUGUUUCGGCAAGGGGGUCAUCCCGACUUACCAACCCGAUGCAAACUGCGAAUACCGGAGAAUGUUAUCACGGGAGACACACGGCGGGUGCUAACGUCCGUCGUGAAGAGGGAAACAACCCAGACCGCCAGCUAAGGUCCCAAAGUCAUGGUUAAGUGGGAAACGAUGUGGGAAGGCCCAGACAGCCAGGAUGUUGGCUUAGAAGCAGCCAUCAUUUAAAGAAAGCGUAAUAGCUCACUGGUCGAGUCGGCCUGCGCGGAAGAUGUAACGGGGCUAAACCAUGCACCGAAGCUGCGGCAGCGACACUAUGUGUUGUUGGGUAGGGGAGCGUUCUGUAAGCCUGUGAAGGUGUACUGUGAGGUAUGCUGGAGGUAUCAGAAGUGCGAAUGCUGACAUAAGUAACGAUAAAGCGGGUGAAAAGCCCGCUCGCCGGAAGACCAAGGGUUCCUGUCCAACGUUAAUCGGGGCAGGGUGAGUCGACCCCUAAGGCGAGGCCGAAAGGCGUAGUCGAUGGGAAACAGGUUAAUAUUCCUGUACUUGGUGUUACUGCGAAGGGGGGACGGAGAAGGCUAUGUUGGCCGGGCGACGGUUGUCCCGGUUUAAGCGUGUAGGCUGGUUUUCCAGGCAAAUCCGGAAAAUCAAGGCUGAGGCGUGAUGACGAGGCACUACGGUGCUGAAGCGACAAAUGCCCUGCUUCCAGGAAAAGCCUCUAAGCAUCAGGUAACAUCAAAUCGUACCCCAAACCGACACAGGUGGUCAGGUAGAGAAUACCAAGGCGCUUGAGAGAACUCGGGUGAAGGAACUAGGCAAAAUGGUGCCGUAACUUCGGGAGAAGGCACGCUGAUAUGUAGGUGAAGCGACUUGCUCGUGGAGCUGAAAUCAGUCGAAGAUACCAGCUGGCUGCAACUGUUUAUUAAAAACACAGCACUGUGCAAACACGAAAGUGGACGUAUACGGUGUGACGCCUGCCCGGUGCCGGAAGGUUAAUUGAUGGGGUUAGCGGUAACGCGAAGCUCUUGAUCGAAGCCCCGGUAAACGGCGGCCGUAACUAUAACGGUCCUAAGGUAGCGAAAUUCCUUGUCGGGUAAGUUCCGACCUGCACGAAUGGCGUAAUGAUGGCCAGGCUGUCUCCACCCGAGACUCAGUGAAAUUGAACUCGCUGUGAAGAUGCAGUGUACCCGCGGCAAGACGGAAAGACCCCGUGAACCUUUACUAUAGCUUGACACUGAACAUUGAGCCUUGAUGUGUAGGAUAGGUGGGAGGCUUUGAAGUGUGGACGCCAGUCUGCAUGGAGCCGACCUUGAAAUACCACCCUUUAAUGUUUGAUGUUCUAACGUGGGCCCCUUACCGGGGUUGCGGACAGUGUCUGGUGGGUAGUUUGACUGGGGCGGUCUCCUCCUAAAGAGUAACGGAGGAGCACGAAGGUUGGCUAAUCCUGGUCGGACAUCAGGAGGUUAGUGCAAUGGCAUAAGCCAGCUUGACUGCGAGCGUGACGGCGCGAGCAGGUGCGAAAGCAGGUCAUAGUGAUCCGGUGGUUCUGAAUGGAAGGGCCAUCGCUCAACGGAUAAAAGGUACUCCGGGGAUAACAGGCUGAUACCGCCCAAGAGUUCAUAUCGACGGCGGUGUUUGGCACCUCGAUGUCGGCUCAUCACAUCCUGGGGCUGAAGUAGGUCCCAAGGGUAUGGCUGUUCGCCAUUUAAAGUGGUACGCGAGCUGGGUUUAGAACGUCGUGAGACAGUUCGGUCCCUAUCUGCCGUGGGCGCUGGAGAACUGAGGGGGGCUGCUCCUAGUACGAGAGGACCGGAGUGGACGCAUCACUGGUGUUCGGGUUGUCAUGCCAAUGGCACUGCCCGGUAGCUAAAUGCGGAAGAGAUAAGUGCUGAAAGCAUCUAAGCACGAAACUUGCCCCGAGAUGAGUUCUCCCUGACUCCUUGAGAGUCCUGAAGGAACGUUGAAGACGACGACGUUGAUAGGCCGGGUGUGUAAGCGCAGCGAUGCGUUGAGCUAACCGGUACUAAUGAACCGUGAGGCUUAACCUU
Molecule: ribosomal RNA, 2770 nt
Filed under: Escherichia coli
Lineage: Bacteria; Pseudomonadati; Pseudomonadota; Gammaproteobacteria; Enterobacterales; Enterobacteriaceae
Description: partial 23S ribosomal RNA
Rfam family: Bacterial large subunit ribosomal RNA
Source: RNAcentral